CAAAGGAGGCGACUCCGGAGACGGAUGGGCAUGCGUGACAUUAGCUUGUUGGCGGGGUAACGGCCCACCAAGGCGACGAUGUCUAGGGGUUCUGAGAGGAAGGUCCCCCACACUGGUACUGAGACACGGACCAGACUCCUACGGGAGGCAGCAGUGAGGAAUAUUGGUCAAUGGGCGAGAGCCUGAACCAGCCAAGUCGCGUGAAGGAUGACGGCCCUACGGGUUGUAAACUUCUUUUGUCAGGGAGCAAUUGGGUCCACGCGUGGGCUUAGCGAGAGUACCUGAAGAAAAAGCAUCGGCUAACUCCGUGCCAGCAGCCGCGGUAAUACGGAGGAUGCGAGCGUUAUCCGGAUUUAUUGGGUUUAAAGGGUGCGUAGGCGGAAUAUCAAGUCAGCGGUAAAAAUUCGGGGCUCAACCCCGUCGUGCCGUUGAAACUGAUGUUCUUGAGUGGGCGAGAAGUAUGCGGAAUGCGUGGUGUAGCGGUGAAAUGCAUAGAUAUCACGCAGAACUCCGAUUGCGAAGGCAGCAUACCGGCGCCCAACUGACGCUGAAGCACGAAAGCGUGGGUAUCGAACAGGAUUAGAUACCCUGGUAGUCCACGCAGUAAACGAUGAAUGCUAAUUGUCCGGAGGGAUUGACCUCUGG
Molecule: ribosomal RNA, 645 nt
Filed under: uncultured bacterium
Lineage: Bacteria
Description: bacterial SSU rRNA
Rfam family: Bacterial small subunit ribosomal RNA
Source: RNAcentral